This 239-nucleotide ribosomal RNA is filed under the name Sorocybe resinae. Its description in RNAcentral is "partial large subunit ribosomal RNA". It matches the Rfam family "Eukaryotic large subunit ribosomal RNA", at positions 419 to 675 of the family's 3401-position model. Lineage: Eukaryota; Fungi; Ascomycota; Eurotiomycetes; Chaetothyriales; Herpotrichiellaceae. The record is from RNAcentral.
GCGCUUGCAACCAGACUUGUGUGUAACAGUUCCCCCUGUCUUUUGACUGGGUUAUUCUGUUAUAUCCAGGCCAGCAUCGGUUCGGGUGGUUGGUUAAAGGCCUUGGGAAUGUAUCUACCUUCGGGUCGACUUAUAGCCCAGGGUGUAAUGCGGCCUACCUGGACCGAGGAACGCGCUUCGGCUCGGAUGCUGGCGUAAUGGUUGUAAGCGGCCCGUCUUGAAACACGGACCAAGGAGUC